Non-coding RNA from Meleagris gallopavo (turkey), 1106 nucleotides. The record is from RefSeq and is a predicted model, not a curated record. Lineage: Eukaryota; Metazoa; Chordata; Aves; Galliformes; Phasianidae.
CUCUGAGGUGGCAGCCCGAAGCAGUGAUGGAGCACCUGGUGAGGGGUGCAGCCCUGCAAGCACAGGUGGAAGCGGUGCACGUGUGGGACCAGGUGGGGCUGAGCCUGGCUCCACCCCUCCCUCCCCUCAUUUAAGGGCUGGCAGCCCCAGAGGCCAGGUUUCCUCCUGGAGAUGCCUCCUGUGGAUUGCUGGGUGAGCUCUGGCUCUUGGAAAGAGUUGUUCUCUGAGGGGAGCGAAGGGGUUAUCAGCCUUUUUCUGAAGCGGUCAUGGAGGGACUGAUGCUCGUUCCUUUCUUUUGCUCCCAUCUGUUUCUGGAACGCUUCCGUCAGCCCCAAGGUUUCCUUUGCUGCUCUUGUUCAGCUCAGUGCCUUCCCGUGAAGUCUCUGUUCCCUCUUUCAUGGUUCUCGUUGUGGAAUCUCCACCCUGGGACUCCAAACUGGGUUUGUCUGCUACCACGUUGUCCCGGCCCGUUUUAUGACACGUCCCCUCUGUGUCCUCGCGUCCCGCUCGUGUCUUUGUGUCCUCCCUGCGUCCUCUGCCCACGUCCCCUCUGUGUCCCCUGUGCCACGCAUUCAUUCCACCCCUGCUGAGUUUGGUUGUUUAAGGGCACGUGUUUCCAUGACGUUCCGCGUCUCUUUGGCUCUCGUUGUGUUUUGCAGACAGACGGAAGGCUUUCUGGGGCUGCUCUGGUGUGUGCCUCCCUCCAUUUCAAACUCUUUCCCCUGGUCCCCUGCUGUCAAAGAUGUUUUCCUUCCAUCUAACCCAAGUUUUCCCUCCUUCUUUCCUCCAGCUUCCCUUUAGGUAUGGAAAGGCUGUUAGCAGCUCACCUGGGAGCCUUGGCUCCUCCGCGCUGAACAGCCCCAGCUCUCAGCCUGGCCUUGGAGGAGAGCUGUUGGAUCCUUGGCUUCUUGGUGUUUUGGGGCCGGCCUCUGGAUGUGCUCCAACGGCUCCGUGUCUCUUCUGCCCUCAGGACUCUUCCUAUGGACGCAGCGCUCCAGGUGAGGCCUCUUCAGCACGGGGCAUUCCCUCCCAUUUCUCGCCCCAUUCCCGCCUUUUGGCUCCCGCCUUUUGGCUCCCGCCUUUUGGCUCCCGCCUUUUGGCUCCCG